AUUAGCAGGAAAUACCAAGAGUUUCCAAGGGGACAGGAGCAGAGGCCCCUCGGAUCUUUGAGGUUGUCAUCUUCCUUUGCAAGUUUAGUCCUAAACCCGCUGACAACAAUCCAGUCUUCAGGAUGGAGGGCUGUCGGGAGCCCAGGGUAUCCUUGGUCAGACCGUGAGGCAUGUGAUACGGAGCCACGGAGGGCGGCAGAGUCCUUCUCAGAGAUCCGUCCACGCCACCAGCCCCAGGUCGACCGGAGGGUGUGUGGAAGCAGGAAAUUCAGGGGCUACAGUGAAACCCCGACUCUAGCUUCUCUGUUGCCAGUGAGUGACAGCUGGAUGUCAGGGGACUCACAAAUGUGGACUCAUACAAGGUUGGCAAAAGCGACAGGCUCAGAGGAACUGGCCCCAACUCAAACUAGGGUGCCCCCCCACUCUUGGCUCCCCCAAACCCGCAAGCCCUCACUUACCCGGCAGAAGCCUACUGCUCCCCUCCAAAAGCAGAGACAGCCGUGGAUUUUAAGACCUGAGAUGAUGCAUCACUGUGGCUGUAACACUGGACUGAAUCUUGUUCUGUGUUCUAUGUAUCAUAUUCUCUGACAUAAAAAGGCAUUUCAGAGCAAAACAAAACACCAAACACAAGUUAAGAGCCACUGGAGUUACAUACGCAGGGAAGAGCAAAGGCCUCCAAGAAGGUGUGGUCAAAUGAACAGGAAGCUUUCCAAAGAACAGGGGCAAAUUCAGAAGAACGGGUAAGUUCAGAAGCUGGUGGUCCAGGUGAAUGUGGACCCCAAGGUCCAGUUCUGGGUUUUGCUUUGAGCUGCAAGCGUCAUCACUUUGUUCAAAACCCCCAGAGUUUUAUGUUUAUAAUAAAUGUAUUGCCUUGAUCA
Molecule: long non-coding RNA, 878 nt
Filed under: Bos indicus x Bos taurus (hybrid cattle)
Lineage: Eukaryota; Metazoa; Chordata; Mammalia; Artiodactyla; Bovidae
Description: lncRNA (ENSBIXG00000028644.1)
Source: RNAcentral